This 643-nucleotide ribosomal RNA is filed under the name Nocardioides aestuarii. RNAcentral's name for it is "bacterial SSU rRNA". It matches the Rfam family "Bacterial small subunit ribosomal RNA", at positions 232 to 885 of the family's 1533-position model. Lineage: Bacteria; Bacillati; Actinomycetota; Actinomycetes; Propionibacteriales; Nocardioidaceae. The record is from RNAcentral.
CGCGGCCUAUCAGCUUGUUGGUGGGGUAAUGGCCUACCAAGGCUUCGGCGGGUAGCCGGCCUGAGAGGGUGACCGGCCACACUGGGACUGAGACACGGCCCAGACUCCUACGGGAGGCAGCAGUGGGGAAUAUUGGACAAUGGGCGGAAGCCUGAUCCAGCAACGCCGCGUGAGGGAUGACGGCCUUCGGGUUGUAAACCUCUUUCAGCACCGACGAAGCGCAAGUGACGGUAGGUGCAGAAGAAGGACCGGCCAACUACGUGCUAGCAGCCGCGGUAAUACGUAGGGUCCGAGCGUUGUCCGGAAUUAUUGGGCGUAAAGGGCUCGUAGGCGGUUUGUCGCGUCGGGAGUGAAAACACCGGGCUUAACUCGGUGCUUGCUUUCGAUACGGGCAGACUUGAGGUAUGCAGGGGAGAACGGAAUUCCUGGUGUAGCGGUGAAAUGCGCAGAUAUCAGGAGGAACACCGGUGGCGAAGGCGGUUCUCUGGGCAUUACCUGACGCUAAGGAGCGAAAGUGUGGGGAGCGAACAGGAUUAGAUACCCUGGUAGUCCACACCGUAAACGUUGGGCGCUAGGUGUGGGAUCCAUUCCACGGGUUCCGUGCCGUAGCUAACGCAUUAAGCACCCCGCCUGGGGAGUACGG